Molecule: ribosomal RNA, 429 nt
Filed under: Chloroflexota bacterium
Lineage: Bacteria; Bacillati; Chloroflexota
Description: Chloroflexi bacterium partial 16S ribosomal RNA
Rfam family: Bacterial small subunit ribosomal RNA
Source: RNAcentral
UGGGGAAUAUUGCACAAUGGGCGCAAGCCUGAUGCAGCCAUGCCGCGUGUAUGAAGAAGGCCUUCGGGUUGUAAAGUACUUUCAGCGGGGAGGAAGGGAGUAAAGUUAAUACUUUUGCUCAUUGACGUUACCCGCAGAAGAAGCACCGGCUAACUCCGUGCCAGCAGCCGCGGUAAUACGGAGGGUGCAAGCGUUAAUCGGAAUUACUGGGCGUAAAGCGCACGCAGGCGGUUUGUUAAGUCAGAUGUGAAAUCCCCGGGCUCAACCUGGGAGCUGCAUCUGAUACUGGCAAGCUUGAGUCUCGUAGAGGGGGGUAGAAUUCCAGGUGUAGCGGUGAAAUGCGUAGAGAUCUGGAGGAAUACCGGUGGCGAAGGCGGCCCCCUGGACGAAGACUGACGCUCAGGUGCGAGAGCGUGGGGAGCAAACAGG